Aedes aegypti (yellow fever mosquito) is the source of this 1331-nucleotide long non-coding RNA. RefSeq lists it as uncharacterized. Lineage: Eukaryota; Metazoa; Arthropoda; Insecta; Diptera; Culicidae. The record is from RefSeq and is a predicted model, not a curated record. The transcript is spliced from 2 exons.
CAAAAUGAAACGAGAAAACUUCUGCUGAUCAACUGUGGACAGAGCAAAGCAGGUAAUCCAUUGAUCCGGAUAAAGUGCAUCUUUUUCUUCCUCGCUAGCUUACUCUGCAGAUACGUGCCGCUUAUACACAAGCGCUAAUCAUCUUGCUAUCACUUUAAAUAUACGCCCCCUUCUAGCUUAGCUAACACACUACUAGAAUGAGCAGUAUUACUCAGUAAGUCACGAUGAUCACAUCCAAUCUAUUACUAAGCUUUGCUAGUUCCUGUCCAUCUAUCUAUCGGAACGAAACUAUGGCGGAAUAAUCUGGAGUUCAACGCUGCAUCCAAUUGGCAGUCCAACGAACUGCCCAAAUUCGGCCAGCCAAUCCAAUAUCCGGCGAAACUAAACGCACUGGUGGAACUUCCCACCAGUCUCAGUGUGGAGUACAUGAUUCUGCCCAGCACCGGUGCAAUUCUCGUCCCUGAAACGGACUUUUCGCUGCACUUCGACAGUGACCGAAAGCAGCGCGAAGCGGCUGUAUUCAGAACUCCGGUCAGGAAGCCCGUACUAUUCAACUGCCAACUGGCAAACGGUGGAUUGCUUCCGGGAAAGUUGUCCCGGAACCAAAUAGUGCCACGCCACAUCUGGAGCGCAUUCCGUGUCAGUAUGAAUCUGUGGCGUUUGGAAAAGUCCAUCGCGAUCGACAUGCCAGUACCAUUCGGCGAUUGAGGUGAAAGAUGUCAGCUAUGGGAGGAACGACGGGCUUGGAUGAGUUUCGUUCGCUUUUUUGGUCUCUGACUUGGGUCAGUAUGUUUUCUACAACGGGGAAGAAACACUGGUUACGGAGGGUAAAUGUGGUAGUCCAGAAAAGUGUCCUUGCCAAUCGACUUGGGUCCUUUGAUGCAGUUUGUUCCAAUGAAGUGUGUCCUGUACCGCUCUGUUUGAACCCCGUCAUACCGAAAGGCCCACUGUUGUGCCAUAUGCGGAAGUGUGCUCUUCGUGGAUUUGAGCAAUUUGGAGGAUAAUUUGGAUUUAGGUGAUUUCUCGCGGAAAUUGAAUCGGAAAAUCACAUCAUCAGACGUAGAUCAAUCCGAGGUUAGAGUAUCACAUUAGUGUUGAAAACCAUGCGCUGCAGUUGGUGAUCGUGGCAUAAAGGGAGUAUGCUGAGCAGAGCGUUCAGUUGAUGAAAAAUUUGGAGCCCUAUUUCGCGCUUCGAUUUCGAAAUGGUCAUUAAAGUUCUCCAUGCAGGUCAUCCCCACAUCCCGUAUCAAAGCGGUCAACUGUUCCUAGUUAUGUUCAUUUCCCUGCUGGUUGUAUCAAUGUUCUUCACCAUCCUAUAUGCAUUCUACUAC